This 1319-nucleotide ribosomal RNA is filed under the name metagenome. Its description in RNAcentral is "bacterial LSU rRNA". It matches the Rfam family "Bacterial large subunit ribosomal RNA", at positions 1561 to 2925 of the family's 2925-position model. The record is from RNAcentral.
AGUGGAUGGGGAGCAACCUAUGUUGUGCGUGUGUAAAGGUAGUGCCAAGAAAAGCGAUGAUCAUGUUGAAAAUCAAUUCCCGGUACCCGAAACCGACACAGGUGGGCAAGUAGAGAAUACUAAGGGGCGCGAGGUAACUCUCUCCAAGGAACUCGGCAAAAUGACCCCGUAACUUAGGGAGAAGGGGUGCCACCGAGAGGUGGUCGCAGUGAAGAGGCCCAGGCGACUGUUUAGCAAAAACAUAGGUCUCUGCAAACUCGAAAGAGGAGGUAUAGGGGCUGACGCCUGCCCAGUGCCGGAAGGUUAAAGAAGUUGGUCAGUUUUAGGAUGAAGCUAGCGACUGAAGCCCCGGUGAACGGCGGCCGUAACUAUAACGGUCCUAAGGUAGCGAAAUUCCUUGUCGGGUAAGUUCCGACCCGCACGAAAGGCGUAACGAUCUGGGCGCUUCUCGGAGAGAGGCUCGGCGAAAUAGGAUUGUCUGUGAAGAUACGGACUACCUGCAUUUGGACAGAAAGACCCUAUGAAGCUUUACUAUAGCUUGGAAUUGUGUUCGGGCUUCCUGUGCGCAGGAUAGGUGGGAGGCGUAGAAGGUAUUCUUGUGGGGAUACUGGAGCCAACGGUGAGAUACCACUCUCAGGAGGCUAGAAUUCUAACUUAAUUAAGGACAGUUUCAGGUGGGUAAUUUGACUGGGGCGGUCGCCUCCAAAAAGGUAACGGAGGCGUACAAAGGUUCCCUCAGACUGGUUGGAAAUCAGUCGAAGAGUGCAAAGGCAGAAGGGAGCUUGACUGCGGGAAGUACAGUUCGAGCAGGGUGGAAACACGGUCUUAGUGAUCCGACGGUGCUGUGUGGAAGGGCCGUCGCUCAACGGAUAAAAGUUACUCUAGGAUAACAGGCUGAUCUCCCCCAAGAGUUCACAUCGACGGGGAGGUUUGGCACCUCGAUGUCGGCUCAUCGCAACCUGGGGCGGAAGUACGUCCCAAGGGUUGGGCUGUUCGCCCAUUAAAGCGGUACGUGAGCUGGGUUCAGAACGUCGUGAGACAGUUCGGUCCAUAUCCGAUGUAGGCGUGAGAAUAUUGAGAGGAGCCUUCCUUAGUACGAGAGGACCGGGAAGGACGCACCGCUGGUGUACCUGUUAUGAUGCCAAUUGUAAACGCAGGGUAGCCAAGUGCGGAGAGGAUAACCGCUGAAAGCAUCUAAGUGGGAAGCCCACCUCAAGAUGAGUAUUCUGGUGUAAGGUCACGGGAAGACGACCCGUAAAUAGGCACGAGGUGGAAGUGCAGAGAUGUAUGAAGCCGAAGUGUACUAAUAGACCGUCGGC